AUUGCACGAUUUGUGACAAGCCCAGCUUUCUCCUUUUCCUUUCUCUCACACAAAUUGAAGUUCUCGGUCAUUUGAUGUCCACCUCCCAUGGAGUUUUGGCCCCAAAAUUGGAGAUUUGGAAGCACGAAAACUCAUCUAGAGUUAACUUAACAUUGUUGGCAUAGAUAUCAUGCUUUUUGGGCACUCUCGGCUAAAAGGAAAGGAAGCUUACCUCAACAAUUUAUUGUUCUGUAAAUCAACUUGAUGCAGGUUGAUUAUUGAAGCUCAGAAGCUAGAGUCUCCUACAAUUAUGGUUGAUAUAUCAGGUUGUUACGGCAUUAUUAAUGCUUGCAUUGGUACGACAUCAUCAGAUGAAGCACAUGUUACUUUUGAUGAAAAGAAUGCUCAAGGAAUUAUUUUGGGGUCUUAUGUUCAUGUGCCAAUAUUGAAGGCUUGUUGCAAUGAGCAUAAAAUAGCUUAAACAAUUCAAAUGCUUAUGCAGAUUAGUAACUCAGAGCUUAAGAUGGACACGGAUUUGGCACUAAUUAGCGAGUAUGUUUCUAAGGACAUAUCCCUUCAUGUCUUAUUACAAUGGCAUAAGUUGAAGAGGAACAGUUUAGUUGAUGGAGAGAAGGGGCUUAUAUUUGUUGACAACAUGGUUGAUGCAUUCCACUAUGCUCUUGUGAAGGGAGAUAGGCAUCCUCCAUUACUCUUACCUUAACUUAUUGUGUUUGUUAUGGGAGAAGCAUCGACAAGUUUGGAGUUGUUGUAACAUGAGUAUCAUAUUGAUCUAGUAGAUCUCGUGGCUGUCAUUGCAAUUGCAUUUACUCAAUUGCAUUUGUCACAUGAAGUUGCUGAUACAUACAAAGACUUGAAUAUGAUGACAGGGCACAAGCAAGAUGUUGGUGAGUACCUUACAUGGACCUUUGUGCACAGUAAGCUCCCUCACAAUCCCAACUCUCAUAAUCUUCAAUGACUUACUCAGAGCAUUCUUUGGUUCACCUUUCAGAGCUUGUUGUACAUACACUGAGCAACUUGGAGACAAGCAAAUGUGUUUCUACAGGGGAUACACAUAGAGCUUUCAAAUAUAAAACAUUACCUUAUUGUGAUGGGAUUAUGAUACAGCUCCUCAAGAAAUUGUCAAGCAAUCAGUAUUCAUGGCAUUAUUCAUGGUUUAGAUGACAGGUUGUGGGAAGGAAUGAAAUUUGUACAUGACUGUCGUAUUAUAAAUCCAACAGCUAUUAGAUGAAUUUUGUCAAUUGUUCCAUACCAAUGAAUUCAGUUUUAUCCCCUUGUUGGUGUUUCUGUAAAGUUACAAGUUGAAACUAACUAAAUCCUUCCAGCUGCAAUUGUGUAUAUAGAUAACAUAUGUACUACUGGAGUUGGGUAUAUGAAUUGUACACUUAAUCAAAGGCAUUGUGUAUACAAUACUUCACUUAUUUC
RNA transcript from Fragaria vesca subsp. vesca, 1422 nucleotides. RefSeq lists it as uncharacterized. NCBI's taxonomy places the organism in Eukaryota, Viridiplantae, Streptophyta, Magnoliopsida, Rosales, Rosaceae. The record is from RefSeq and is a predicted model, not a curated record. The transcript has 2 exons.